Oncorhynchus tshawytscha (Chinook salmon) is the source of this 430-nucleotide long non-coding RNA. The record is from Ensembl. Lineage: Eukaryota; Metazoa; Chordata; Actinopteri; Salmoniformes; Salmonidae.
GUGGUACCGGUACAGAGUCAAUGUGGAGACUAUAUACAGGGGGUACCGGUACAGAGUCAAUGUGGAGGCUACAUACAGGGGGUACUGGUACAGAGUCAAUGUGGAGACUAUAUACAGGGGGUACCGGUACAGAGUCAAUGUGGAGGCUAUAUACAGGGGGUUACGGUACAGAGUCAAUGUGGAGGCUAUAUACAGGGGGUAUCGGUACAGAGUCAAUGUGGAGGCUAUAUACAGGGGGUACCGGUACAGAGUCAAUGUGGAGGCUAUAUACAGGGGGUACCGGUACAGAGUCAAUGUGGAGGCUAUAUACAGGGUAUUACGGUACAGAGUCAAUGUGGAGGCUAUAUACAGGGGGUACCGGUACAGAGUCAAUGUGGAGACUAUAUACAGGGGGUACUGGUACAGAGUCAAUGUGGAGGCUAUAGACAGG